Gossypium hirsutum (cotton) is the source of this 142-nucleotide non-coding RNA. NCBI's taxonomy places the organism in Eukaryota, Viridiplantae, Streptophyta, Magnoliopsida, Malvales, Malvaceae. The record is from Rfam.
UGCUAAAAAUUUCACCCAAUUAUAUUGUUAAAAAUUAGUGUGACUAACGAAAUUACUGGAUAGUAACACGUGGUGUGCCAUGUACCUCAUGCUAAUGUACAUGGAUAAAUUUUACCAGUAAAAAUGGAUGAAAUUUAUAAUA